This 452-nucleotide ribosomal RNA is filed under the name uncultured bacterium. RNAcentral's name for it is "bacterial SSU rRNA". It matches the Rfam family "Bacterial small subunit ribosomal RNA", at positions 28 to 473 of the family's 1533-position model. The record is from RNAcentral.
GACGAACGCUGGCGGCGUGCUUAACACAUGCAAGUCGAGCGGUAAGGCCCUUUCGGGGGUACACGAGCGGCGAACGGGUGAGUAACACGUGGGUGACCUGCCCUCAGCUCUGGGAUAAGCCUGGGAAACCGGGUCUAAUACUGGAUAUGACUCCAUGACGCAUGUUGUGGGGUGGAAAGCCUUGUGCGGCUGAGGAUGGGCCCGCGGCCUAUCAGCUUGUUGGUGGGGUGANGGCCUACCAAGGCGACGACGGGUAGCCGGCCUGAGAGGGCGACCGGCCACACUGGGACUGAGACACGGCCCAGACUCCUACGGGGGGCAGCAGUGGGGAAUCUUGCGCAAUGGGCGAAAGCCUGACGCAGCGACGCCGCGUGGGAGGACGAAGGUACUUCGGAUGUAAACUCUGUCGAGAGGGACGAAUGCCGCGAGGGUGAACAAUCCUCGCGGUUGAC